CAAGCUUCUCGGCUCCUUGGAGCUCAGAUCAAGUGUAGUACCUGCUCUUAUCAGUUUAAUUUUUUAUUUGAUGGAUGUCUACAACACGUGCUCUGAAGAUGGAUUCUGCUGCUGCCAUUUUUGAAAAGAUUGAUGCUGCUGUGAAGAUGUAUUCCGCUGCUGCUACUUUGAGCACACUAUCU
Non-coding RNA from Chelonia mydas (Green sea turtle), 182 nucleotides. The record is from Rfam. Lineage: Eukaryota; Metazoa; Chordata; Testudines; Cheloniidae.